This 582-nucleotide long non-coding RNA is filed under the name Carica papaya (papaya). Its description in RNAcentral is "long non-coding RNA (CPAP_LNC015376)". The record is from RNAcentral. Lineage: Eukaryota; Viridiplantae; Streptophyta; Magnoliopsida; Brassicales; Caricaceae.
UUCCUAUCCACCAACUUUGCUGCAAACCAUGAUCCCUUUAACUCCAUCAGGUAAAUACUUCUAAUGUUGCUGCUUCCUAGCUGCCAGAGAAAUCGUAGGUUGUUUAGAGUGAUAACGUUAGGACCCUUAUCGAAUUUUGAUGACGGUGUGUGGGAGGAGGAGGUGGUGGUGCGAGUGGUGGUUUUGAGCUUGAACUGGUGGUUGAGUUGUCAAGAGAGUCGACGAGGUUUUCAACCAUGGUGGUGGUGGUGGUGGUUGAAGGAGUUGUAGAAAAAAUGAAGGCUUGCGACAGGGGGAGAGAGGGAGAAGAAACAAUAAUAGGAGGAAAGGGAAAAGAGGAAAGGAGGGAGGAGAGGAGAUUUUUUUAAUGGACCAAAAGAAUAGGAUUGGGCCAUUUGGUGUCCUGUUGGCCCUUGGUGGGUUAAUGUGGGCCCAUGAUUAUAUCAUUGUUUGUUUUUUACUUUUGUUAAGUCUUGACAUGGAAAAGUUGUAUUUUUUUGAAAAAAAAAUAAUUUUAAUGAAAAUCACGAGGGAGAUCUUGUGAAAUAAAGAAAUGUCAUAAGGUGUCCUGUAAUACUCGAG